GCCCGAAAGGGAAUCUGAACACAGGUGCUGCAUGGCUGUCGUCAGCUCGUGUCGUGAGAUGUUGGGUUAAGUCCCGCAACGAGCGCAACCCUUGUCAUUAGUUGCCAUCAUUUAGUUGGGCACUCUAAUGAGACUGCCGGUGACAAACCGGAGGAAGGUGGGGAUGACGUCAAGUCCUCAUGGCCCUUAUGGGUAGGGCUUCACACGUCAUACAAUGGUCGGUACAGAGGGUUGCCAAGCCGCGAGGUGGAGCCAAUCCCAGAAAGCCGAUCGUAGUCCGGAUCGUAGGCUGCAACUCGCCUGCGUGAAGUCGGAAUCGCUAGUAAUCGCGGAUCAGCAUGUCGCGGUGAAUACGUUCCCGGGUCUUGUACACACCGCCCGUCACACCAUGGGAGCGGGUUCCACCAGAAGUAGGUAGCCUAACCGCAAGGAGGGCGCUUACCACGGUGGGGUUCGUGACUGGGGUGAAGUCGUAACAAGGUAGCCGUAUCGGAAGGUGCGGCU
Molecule: ribosomal RNA, 504 nt
Filed under: uncultured bacterium
Lineage: Bacteria
Description: bacterial SSU rRNA
Rfam family: Bacterial small subunit ribosomal RNA
Source: RNAcentral